UCAGAUAACAUUUAUUUCUGUAUUGAUUAUCAUUCUAUUUUUUAUAGUAUUUAGUUAUAUGCUAAUAUACAAAAUUAUGUGAAAUUUUCUAAAUAUAUUUUGAUUUAUUAUUAGGUAUUGUUCUUAACAGAUCCAGUGAUGUAGAGACAUUAAAGAUAGAAUGUAAAAUCUAUCAAAGAAAAGUUAACUGCAGAUUAUUUCAAGAUUUUGAACGUAUUAAGAAAAGGAAGUUAUAGAAAAAUAUAUCAGGUUCGGAAGAAGACUGAUAAUGAUACAAAUCAAGUUUUUGCUAUGAAAGUCUUACGUAAGCCUACAAUCGUCAGAAAUUUCAAGGAUAUAGCUCAUACCAAAGCAGAACGAAAUAUAUUUGAAGCUUUUAAGGUUCAAGUUCAAUUUUGCUUUUUACAAUAUUUUUAUGGCUGUACAGAAAUCAGUUUACAAAAUAUCCAAUACUUUUUUGGUAGAAAGAACAAAUGUUUUCCUGUUCCACCAAGGACGUCUAUAUAUAGUAAAUACCACCAACUUAAGUGUUAACAGAUUCUAUAAUUUUUAAAUAUACUUCAUUUUUUUCUUUUGUAA
This is a long non-coding RNA of Aphis gossypii (cotton aphid), 579 nucleotides long. RefSeq lists it as uncharacterized. The record is from RefSeq and is a predicted model, not a curated record. NCBI's taxonomy places the organism in Eukaryota, Metazoa, Arthropoda, Insecta, Hemiptera, Aphididae. The transcript is spliced from 2 exons.